CCUACGGGAGGCAGCAGUGGGGAAUAUUGCACAAUGGGGGAAACCCUGAUGCAGCGACGCCGCGUGAGUGAAGAAGUCUUUCGGUAUGUAAAGCUCUAUCAGCAGGGAAGAUAAUGACGGUACCUGACUAAGAAUCCCCGGCUAACUACGUGCCAGCAGCCGCGGUCAUACGUAGGGGGCAAGCGUUAUCCGGAUUUACUGGGUGUAAAGGGUGCGUAGGUGGGAAGGUAAGUCUGGAGUGAAAGCCCGGGGCUCAACCCCGGGACUGCAUUUGAAACUGUCUAGCUGGAGUGCAGGAGAGGUAAGCGGAAUUCGUGGUGUAGCGGUGAAAUGCGUAGAUAUCAGGAGGAACACCGGUGGCGAAGGCGGCUUGCUGGACUGUAACUGACGCUGAGGCACGAAAGCGUGGGGAGCAAACAGGAUUAGAUACCCUUGUAGUC
RNAcentral lists this ribosomal RNA (440 nucleotides) under uncultured bacterium. RNAcentral's name for it is "partial 16S ribosomal RNA". It matches the Rfam family "Bacterial small subunit ribosomal RNA", at positions 338 to 795 of the family's 1533-position model. The record is from RNAcentral.